Molecule: ribosomal RNA, 458 nt
Filed under: uncultured bacterium
Lineage: Bacteria
Description: partial 16S ribosomal RNA
Rfam family: Bacterial small subunit ribosomal RNA
Source: RNAcentral
CCUACGGGAGGCAGCAGUGAGGAAUAUUGGUCAAUGGGCGAGAGCCUGAACCAGCCAAGUCGCGUGAGGGAGUACUGCCCUAUGGGUUGUAAACCUCUUUUGUCGGGGAGCAAAAGCCGGACGUGUCCGGCUGUGAGAGUACCCGAAGAAAAAGCAUCGGCUAACUCCGUGCCAGCAGCCGCGGUAAUACGGAGGAUGCGAGCGUUAUCCGGAUUUAUUGGGUUUAAAGGGUGCGCAGGCGGAUUUUUACGUCAGCGGUAAAAUCGUGGGGCUCAACCCCAUCCAGCCGUUGAAACUGGGGAUCUAGAGUGUGCGAGAGGUAUGCGGAAUGCGUGGUGUAGCGGUGAAAUGCAUAGAUAUCACGCAGAACCCCGAUUGCGAAGGCAGCAUACCGGUGCACAACUGACGCUCAGGCACGAAAGCGUGGGUAUCGAACAGGAUUAGAUACCCUUGUAGUC